GGGGUUGUGGCUCAGCGGUAGAAUGCUCACCUAGCAUGUGGGAAGCCCAGGGUUCCAUCCUCAGCACCUCA
RNAcentral lists this transfer RNA (71 nucleotides) under Marmota monax (woodchuck). Its description in RNAcentral is "tRNA.Ala". The record is from RNAcentral. Lineage: Eukaryota; Metazoa; Chordata; Mammalia; Rodentia; Sciuridae.